This is a long non-coding RNA of Dermacentor andersoni, 727 nucleotides long. RefSeq lists it as uncharacterized. Lineage: Eukaryota; Metazoa; Arthropoda; Arachnida; Ixodida; Ixodidae. The record is from RefSeq and is a predicted model, not a curated record.
UCCGGCAUGGGUCAGCUACCUUCGAAUUCAUGCCGGACUCCAAUCUUGACAACGGGUUACGAGCGGUGGGAUUGAGCCCCCAAUCCUGACAGUACAUGCAUGUUGCUGCAAUAAUAAGUUUGCGAGAAUGUAUAAUAAUCCAGUGUCGUUUGCUGUUCUGCCUUACCUUUUUUGGAUCUUUCAUUCCUGCCUUAAUGCAGCCAUUGCAAUAGUCAUAUCGUGUACAUUAGUGAUUUUAGCUUUGAAACCUUUUUUUUUUUUUUUCCCCUCCAGACAUGAUGGAUGUCUCUUAUGGGGGCUGGGACUUAAAGAUGCUUCACUGCGGGCAUCCUACCCAAUAUCUUCAAGCCAUUUGUGUGGAAACUUUAGCACUCAAGGCCACUGGCAGAAAAGGAGGCUUGGACCUGCAUGUCUACAGUAUCAUUGAAGAAGCCAUUUGAAGCUGCUACAUGUGGGAAAAUGCAACGAUUCGUGCCAUUUGCCAAGCAGCAGUUGCCUGAAGAAUUGCAGUAUGCAAGUGGAUUCUUCAAAAGCCACUGGGCCUGCCACCAGCUGACAUGCUUUUCUUCAUCCUCCUUAGUCCUGUACCUUAGCCUUGUUGGGAUGCGGAGGUUGGGUCAGUUUUUCUAGACAUGUCAGUCAUUACCUGUAUAUAAAUUUAGUCUCAAUCAAUGCAAGGCAAGCAGAUGUUCAUAAUUUGCACAAAUAAAAAUUUGUGUUUUGCUGA